RNAcentral lists this ribosomal RNA (509 nucleotides) under uncultured Bacteroidota bacterium. RNAcentral describes it as "uncultured Bacteroidetes bacterium partial 16S ribosomal RNA". Lineage: Bacteria; Pseudomonadati; Bacteroidota. The record is from RNAcentral.
CACGGAGUUAGCCGAUGCUUUUUCUUCGGAUACACGCAGUCCGGGACACGUCCCGGGUUUUGUUCUCCGACAAAAGAGGUUUACAACCCAUAGGGCCGUCUUCCCUCACGCGGCUUGGCUGGUUCAGGAUCUCUCCCAUUGACCAAUAUUCCUCACUGCUGCCUCCCGUAGGAGUCUGGUCCGUGUCCCAGUACCAGUGUGGGGGACCUUCCUCUCAGAACCCCUACGCAUCGUCGCCACGGUGGGCCGUUACCCCGCCGUCAAGCUAAUGCGCCGCAUGCCCAUCCUCUUCCGAUGAAUCUUUCCUCGAUCUCGGAUGCCCGAAACCGAUAUACGCGGGAUUAGCCUCCCUUUCGGAAGGUUGUCCCCCUGAAGAGGGCAGGUUGCAUACGUGUUACUCACCCGUGCGCCGGUCGCCGGCAAGGAAAGCAAGCUUCCCUCCCGAUGCCCCUCGACUUGCAUGUGUUAAGCCUGCCGCUAGCGUUCAUCCUGAGCCAGGAUCAAACUCU